RNAcentral lists this unclassified non-coding RNA (1060 nucleotides) under Hevea brasiliensis (rubber tree). Lineage: Eukaryota; Viridiplantae; Streptophyta; Magnoliopsida; Malpighiales; Euphorbiaceae. The record is from RNAcentral.
AUUUCAUCAACUUUGCAAAUUUUUAAAAAAAAAAUUGCAUAAUGCCAAGCCGUUAAGGUUAUGUUACAACCAUUAUAGGCCUGUUUCCGUUACACGUGACCGUGACCACAAACGCGAUCGCGACCUCGAUUUAAAACAAUGAUUCUUACCUUUUUCUUCGCAUUCAAUACCUGGGGGUAUUUAGAGCAGUCCUUCUGAUGAAAUUUGGAUUAUAAAUAGAGACAUUGGAACCUUUUGUCAGUUUAAACAGGAUAAAGUUUGCUCAUAGAAAGGGGCUUAAACUUCGUCAAAAUUAGGCAUUUCUAGCAAUAUUAUGGAAUAUUUGGAUUGAAAGUAAAAUUCACAUUUUAAAAAAAAAAAUCAGUUUGUCGUUUAAUGUGCAGUGGGUUAAGGUGGUUCUUUGGGAUUCAGCUUCCUAAUCAUUCUAAAGGGUGUCCUUGAGGGUUUAUUCAGCCAGAUUUGAGGGCAAUACCUUUUUUUUUUUUGUUGUUCCAUUCUUGUCUUUUUUUUUUCAUUUAUGAGGAGAUUUUAUCCUACAUGUUCUAUUCUCUUUUUUUUUCCCUUCAAAAAUGUUUUAUUUUCCUCCUCAAGCUCAAUUUUCAGAUAACAAUAAAGUUGCUCAAACUAAUCAAUGAAUUCAACUAGAAUCACAUUAAGGAGAAACUAUUCCAAAGAAAGUUAGUUUUCACCGAAAACUUUUUGAGAUGUGCUUGAUAAUCAAUGUCCAACUUUGGCAAGUAUUAAUUUGACACAAGGAGAGAUUUUGAGUUGCCUUCAUUUGCUGGUCGUGAGGCUAGAGUGGUCGUUGACUUGCUUAGAAGCCCCCUUCAAGUGGUAACCCUAGGUCGAUUACUUUUAGGACCCAAAGUUUCAAGGAUAACAAAGAGGUUAGACACUUGAAAAAUGCUUUAUUUUCUUUAGGGUCUACUUGGAUGAGAGUUAGGGAGGGGUAAAUAAAGGUAAGAAGGGAUAAGUAAUUAUUUUACCUCUAUUUGGAAAGAGGUGAGUUAAUGGAGGUAAAGGCAAGUAAGGAUAAGCCUUACUCUCCCUUACUCCUCAA